AAGACAUGUUGUACAAAAAAAAGCUGCUAACUUUUUAUUUAGCGGUUAAAUUCCGUUUAUGUCUUU
RNAcentral lists this transfer RNA (66 nucleotides) under Neoneuromus ignobilis. Its description in RNAcentral is "tRNA-Ser". Lineage: Eukaryota; Metazoa; Arthropoda; Insecta; Megaloptera; Corydalidae. The record is from RNAcentral.